Molecule: ribosomal RNA, 498 nt
Filed under: uncultured bacterium
Lineage: Bacteria
Description: partial 16S ribosomal RNA
Rfam family: Bacterial small subunit ribosomal RNA
Source: RNAcentral
AUUGAACGCUGGCGGCAUGCCUUACACAUGCAAGUCGAACGGUAACAGGUCUUCGGAUGCUGACGAGUGGCGAACGGGUGAGUAAUACAUCGGAACGUGCCCAGUCGUGGGGGAUAACGACGCGAAAGCUUUGCUAAUACCGCAUACGAUCUACGGAUGAAAGCGGGGGAUCGCCAGGCCGCGCGCGAUCGGAGCGGCCGAUGGCAGAUUAGGUCGUUGGUGGGGUAAAGGCUUAGCAAGCCGACGAUCUGUAGCUGGUCUGAGAGGACGACCAGCCACACUGGGACUGAGACACGGCCCAGACUCCUACGGGAGGCAGCAGUGGGGAAUUUUGGACAAUGGGCGCAAGCCUGAUCCAGCAAUGCCGCGUGCAGUAUGAAGGCCUUCGGGUUGUAAAGCUCUUUCGGCAGGAACGAAACGGUGGAGGCUAAUAUCCUUCAUCAAUGACGGUACCUGAAGAAGAAGCACCGGCUAACUACGUGCCAGCAGCCGCGGUAA